GCUGAGGCGGGGGCGGCUGCCGCGGUAAUCCGGAGGGGGGUAGGGUUGGCCGGAAUCAUUGGGCGGAAAGGGCGGGUAGGCGGUACGGUAAGGCUGCUGUGAAAGUCGGGGGCUCAACCCUCGGAUGCCGGUGGAUACUGUCGGGCUUGAGUACGGAAGAGGCGAGUGGAAUUCCUGGUGUAGCGGUGAAAUGCGCAGAUAUCAGGAGGAACACCAAUUGCGAAGGCAGCUCGCUGGGACGUUACUGACGCUGAGACGCGAAAGCGUGGGGAGCAAACAGGAUUAGAUACCCUAGUAGUC
This 300-nucleotide ribosomal RNA is filed under the name uncultured Isoptericola sp. RNAcentral's name for it is "bacterial SSU rRNA". It matches the Rfam family "Bacterial small subunit ribosomal RNA", at positions 496 to 795 of the family's 1533-position model. The record is from RNAcentral. Lineage: Bacteria; Bacillati; Actinomycetota; Actinomycetes; Micrococcales; Promicromonosporaceae.